This 643-nucleotide long non-coding RNA is filed under the name Malus domestica (apple). RNAcentral describes it as "long non-coding RNA (MDOM_LNC007865)". The record is from RNAcentral. Lineage: Eukaryota; Viridiplantae; Streptophyta; Magnoliopsida; Rosales; Rosaceae.
AAUUAUGUCAAGGCAACAGCUCCACCACCUCUAUCCAAGGCUCCAGCGCCGCCGCCUCUUGUGGCCAAACCACCCACUCCACCAAUUGCCAAGCCGCCAACUCCACCACUUACCAAGCCAUCACCACCAAUUCACAAGCUCCCUACUCCUCCUUGCCCCCACCACCCCCACAGCCACCAAGCCACCAACUCCACCACUUACCAAGCCAUCACCACCAAUUCACAAGCUCCCUACUCCUCCCCUUGCCAAGCCACCAACUCCACCACUUACCAAGCCACCAACUCCACCACUUACCAAGCCAUCACCACCAAUUUACAAGCCACCUGCUCCUCCACUUACCAAGCCACCAUCUCCUCCGCUUGCCAAGCCACCAUCUCCUCCGUAUACCAAGCCAACUCCUGUCAUCCCACCAGUGAAGCCACCAACUCCGGUCAUCCCCCCAGUGAAUCCACCAAGUCCUGUCAGUCCCCCAGUGAAGCCACCCACUUAUCCACCGCUUCCCCCGGUUAGGUCCAAAGCAGGUAAAUAUUCUUCUCACUGCCAUAGAGAAGUGAAAUUUAUGUCCAUUACUAAUCUAAGUAAACCCUUAACCUUAUACUCAUUACAAAAUGAUAUACGUUCUAUAUUCCCCAUUAUAUUUUGG